GGGUGAGUAACACGUGGGUAACCUGCCCUAAAGUCUGGGAUACCACUUGGAAACAGGUGCUAAUACCGGAUAACAACAAUAGCUGCAUGGCUAUUGCUUAAAAGGCGGCGAAAGCUGUCGCUAAAGGAUGGACCCGCGGUGCAUUAGCUAGUUGGUAAGGUAAUGGCUUACCAAGGCGACGAUGCAUAGCCGAGUUGAGAGACUGAUCGGCCACAUUGGGACUGAGACACGGCCCAAACUCCUACGGGAGGCAGCAGUAGGGAAUCUUCCACAAUGGGCGAAAGCCUGAUGGAGCAACGCCGCGUGAGUGAAGAAGGUUUUCGGAUCGUAAAGCUCUGUUGUUGGUGAAGAAGGAUAGAGGUAGUAACUGGCCCCUAUUUGACGGUAAUCAACCAGAAAGUCACGGCUAACUACGUGCCAGCAGCCGCGGUAAUACGUAGGUGGCAAGCGUUGUCCGGAUUUACUGGGCGUAAAGCGAGCGCAGGCGGAAAGAUAAGUCUGAUGUGAAAGCCCCCGGCUUAACCGAGGAAUUGCAUCGGAAACUGUGUUUCUUGAGUGCAGAAGAGGAGAGUGGAACUCCAUGUGUAGCGGUGGAAUGCGUAGAUAUAUGGAAGAACACCAGUGGCGAAGGCGGCUCUCUGGUCUGUAACUGACGCUGAGGCUCGAAAGCAUGGGUAGCGAACAGGAUUAGAUACCCUGGUAGUCCAUGCCGUAAACGAUGAAUGCUAAGUGUUGGGA
This 738-nucleotide ribosomal RNA is filed under the name uncultured bacterium. RNAcentral describes it as "bacterial SSU rRNA". It matches the Rfam family "Bacterial small subunit ribosomal RNA", at positions 104 to 828 of the family's 1533-position model. The record is from RNAcentral.